RNAcentral lists this ribosomal RNA (528 nucleotides) under Metarhizium sp. Its description in RNAcentral is "eukaryotic LSU rRNA". The stretch from base 129 to 282 matches the Rfam family "5.8S ribosomal RNA". The record is from RNAcentral. Lineage: Eukaryota; Fungi; Ascomycota; Sordariomycetes; Hypocreales; Clavicipitaceae.
UCCCACUCCUGUGAAUCAUACCUUUUAAUUGGUUGGCUUCCGGCGGGACUUCCGCGCCCGCCGGGGACCCAAACCUUUCUGAAUUUUUUAAUAAGUAUCUUCUGAGUCGGUUAAAAAAAAUGAAUCAAAACUUUCAACAACGGAUCUCUUGGUUCUGGCAUCGAUGAAGAACGCAGCGAAAUGCGAUAAGUAAUGUGAAUUGCAGAAUUCAGUGAAUCAUCGAAUCUUUGAACGCACAUUGCGCCCGUCAGUAUUCUGGCGGGCAUGCCUGUUCGAGCGUCAUUACGCCCCUCAAGUCCCCUGUGGACUUGGUGUUGGGGAUCGGCGAGGCUGGUUUUCCAGCACAGCCGUCCCUUAAAUUAAUUGGCGGUCUCGCCGUGGCCCUCCUCUGCGCAGUAGUAAAGCACUCGCAACAGGAGCCCGGCGCGGUCCACUGCCGUAAAACCCCCCAACUUUUUAUAGUUGACCUCGAAUCAGGUAGGACUACCCGCUGAACUUAAGCAUAUCAAGCAGAGCAGAGAGGAAAUU